CCUGAUUAAUGGGCUGACAGGAAGCUAGUUCAGCAGGGGCUGGAGGAGAGCUUUGUCUCAAGUUCCUGUUCAGAGGCACGUUCAUUUCCUGGGGGCUCACUCACUCCUGUCUCAGCCUCCAGAAGCCCAGACUGUCUGUCCUGGAAGAGGAUGUUCCCCUCUCCUUGCCUUAUGUUGCCGGCCUCCUGACAACCUCAUCAGGCAGGCAGUCGGUUCCUAUUUUUACAGGACCUGGCAGCAGAGAAGAGUCAGGCUGAGAGAGCUGGGGAACAUGUCCGAGGCUGCAGCCACACAGAGGCAGAGCUGGGGCUUGUCCUGGGGUCUUCUAAGCAGGCUUCCUACCCAGGGUCUCCAGGGUGAAAGUGCAGGUUGAAAUGGGCAGGCAUCAGCUGGAGGGGGCCUCCCAGACCAGUUCCAAUGACCCCUCCUCCUGUGGAUGGAAAGACUGAGGCCCAAAGAAGGCAAUGAGAUUAUCCCGGAUUCCAAGCAAGUUAUUUUCAUGCCACAUGAGGUCCUAGGGAUGGGGGAACCACUGUGAAUAAAAGGACAAGAUUCUGGUCUGGUGGAGCUCUUAUGACUGGGGGAACAGCAGUGCAGGACAUCUAGGACUUCAACAAGGGAAUUAUGAUGGCUUCUAAUUACCCAGAGCAGCCCUUAGCCCCACCUAUGAAUAUUCUGGAAAGCUUUCUGAGGAGGUGAUUUCUGAGAAUUGAAGGGUAGCAGGAGAUAGGCAGAGAAGUACCAGUGGGGGAAGACUGCUCCAAGCAUGGGAGUUUUGCUCAUCCUCUGCUACCCAGGAAACCAUUAGAGAUUCAAGUGGUGACGUAUACUGGUUUACACAUGCCAGGUGAAAUACAAGACAUCCAGUCAAUUGAAAUUUCAGGUAGAUAGCAAUAAAUACACUUUAAUAUAAGUAUAUCCCAUGUUGAUAUGGUUUCUCUGUGUCCCCACCCAAAUCUCACCUUGAAUUGUACUCCCAUAAUUCCCAUGUGUUGUGAGAGGGACCUGGUGGGAGAUAAUUUGAAUCAUGUGGGCAGUUUCCCUCAUACUGUUCU
RNAcentral lists this long non-coding RNA (1055 nucleotides) under Callithrix jacchus (white-tufted-ear marmoset). RNAcentral describes it as "lncRNA (ENSCJAG00000074308.1)". The record is from RNAcentral. Lineage: Eukaryota; Metazoa; Chordata; Mammalia; Primates; Cebidae.